CAAUAGCGUAUAUUAAAGUUGUUGCAGUUAAAAAGCUCGUAGUUGGAUUUCUGAUCGAGACAUCAGGUCGGGUCCGAGAGGAUCAUGUACUUUGAUUUUGUUUUGAUCAUCCUUGGGGAGAGCAUUUCUGGCAUUCAGUUGUCGGGGCUGGGAUCCUCAUCGUUUACUGUGAAAAAAUUAGAGUGUUCAAAGCAGGCCUCGGCCUCUGAAUACAUUAGCAUGGAAUAAUAAGAUAGGACUUUGGUGGUCUAUUUUGUUGGUUUGCACGCCAAAGUAAUGAUUAAUAGGGAUAGUUGGGGGUAUUCGUAUUCAAUUGUCAGAGGUGAAAUUCUUGGAUUUAUGGAAGACGAACUACUGCGAAAGCAUUUACCAAGGAUGUUUUCAUUAA
This 388-nucleotide ribosomal RNA is filed under the name uncultured eukaryote. RNAcentral's name for it is "partial 18S ribosomal RNA". It matches the Rfam family "Eukaryotic small subunit ribosomal RNA", at positions 592 to 976 of the family's 1831-position model. The record is from RNAcentral.